This 72-nucleotide transfer RNA is filed under the name Malacanthus brevirostris (quakerfish). RNAcentral's name for it is "tRNA-Val". It matches the Rfam family "tRNA". From Rfam's summary of the family: Transfer RNA (tRNA) molecules are approximately 80 nucleotides in length. Their secondary structure includes four short double-helical elements and three loops (D, anti-codon, and T loops). Further hydrogen bonds mediate the characteristic L-shaped molecular structure. tRNAs have two regions of fundamental functional importance: the anti-codon, which is responsible for specific mRNA codon recognition, and the 3' end, to which the tRNAs corresponding amino acid is attached (by aminoacyl-tRNA synthetases). tRNAs cope with the degeneracy of the genetic code in two manners: having more than one tRNA (with a specific anti-codon) for a particular amino acid; and 'wobble' base-pairing, i.e. permitting non-standard base-pairing at the 3rd anti-codon position. Lineage: Eukaryota; Metazoa; Chordata; Actinopteri; Malacanthidae. The record is from RNAcentral.
CAGAGCAUAGCUAAAACAGUAAAGCAUCUCCCUUACACCGAGAAGUCACUUGUGCAAUUCAAGUUGCCCUGA